RNAcentral lists this long non-coding RNA (850 nucleotides) under Chinchilla lanigera (long-tailed chinchilla). Its description in RNAcentral is "lncRNA (ENSCLAG00000026242.1)". The record is from RNAcentral. Lineage: Eukaryota; Metazoa; Chordata; Mammalia; Rodentia; Chinchillidae.
CAGGGGCCUGCGGGUGGCGCGGCAGUUUUAGCGGGAAUCCACCACUAGCUGGCGCCUAAGGCCGAGGCCGUCUGCGCAGGCGCUGUGGGCACCAGCUGUUGCAUUGUGGGUGGGAACGUUGAGGCGCUUGGCGUUCCCCUCAUUCUGUUAGCGGAACACUGGGCCUGUGGUAGCGCUCGACCUAGGCUUCGAGCGGGAGAGGUUGGUCCGCCAUGGAGGCCUCUGAAAACGCCGAGGCUGGUACCCACAGUGGAGUGGGUGAUACUGGUGCAGCAGGUAACCCUGGACGGUCUCCCUUCACUGGAACCAGAGAAGGUUCUGGAACGGAAGGCGCUGUUACCCGGGAUACUCCUCAGGACGAGGGGACAGGACAGGGUCCAGUGCCUCUUGGAAACGCUGUGGCCUCAGGUGGAAUUGAUAGAAGUAAAUGGCUGGAGCUCCGCCUUGUGGUGCCUUUCCCCUAUUGCGUGGAUGCAGAUGUUACCCACAUGCUCCUGGCUCCAAACGAUGUGACCGUCGGACCUGGACUUCACAGGGAAAUGACAGUGAGAGAAAACGAACUGUUUGUCGUGCUAAGUGCUGAAAAUGCCGACCUUCUGGAGGAUUUUCUCAUCUCAUUCCUGACCGAGCUUUGCGGAGUAAUUCCUCUACUGGAUGAUUUCUUUCCCUAGUAUCCCGACGAUUCUCAGCUGGAAAAGAGGACUGUUUUCUUCAUUGGUCCUGCAGCCCUGGACAGUUCAUCCUUCCCUAGGGCAGGGCCUCCAGGCCCUUUUGUUCCUCUAGACCGCCCUCUGGUGCAUAAAUAUUUGUUCAUGCUGAAAAUAAAAUGAAAUGCUCUUCCAUGUCUGAG